This is a non-coding RNA of Populus trichocarpa (black cottonwood), 123 nucleotides long. Lineage: Eukaryota; Viridiplantae; Streptophyta; Magnoliopsida; Malpighiales; Salicaceae. The record is from Rfam.
UGUUGGUGAUGAUAAAUCCAAAGGCUUGUUUCUCAAAACAUUCGCAGUGGCCGUCUAAGAGCUUUCGCCUUUGCCGGGCUUGAGAGCUUGUGCUGCUUUAUCCUUCCUUGGAUGUCUGAAACU